RNAcentral lists this ribosomal RNA (521 nucleotides) under uncultured bacterium. RNAcentral's name for it is "bacterial SSU rRNA". It matches the Rfam family "Archaeal small subunit ribosomal RNA", at positions 345 to 866 of the family's 1478-position model. The record is from RNAcentral.
AACCUCCGCAAUGUGAGAAAUUGCGACGGGGGGAUCCCAAGUGCCAUUCUUAACGGGAUGGCUUUUCAUUAGUGUAAAGAGCUUUUGGAAUAAGAGCUGGGCAAGACCGGUGCCAGCCGCCGCGGUAACACCGGCAGCUCUAGUGGUAACAAUUUUUAUUGGGCCUAAAGCGUCCGUAGCCGGUUUAAUAAGUCUCUGGUGAAAUCCUGCAGCUUAACUGUGGGAAUUGCUGGAGAUACUAUUAGACUUGAGACCGGGAGAGGUUAGAGGUACUCCCAGGGUAGAGGUGAAAUUCUGUAAUCCUGGGAGGACCGCCUGUUGCGAAGGCGUCUAACUGGAACGGUUCUGACGGUGAGGGACGAAAGUUAGGGGCGCGAACCGGAUUAGAUACCCGGGUAGUCCUAACUGUAAACGAUGCGGACUUGGUGUUGGGGUGGCUUUGAGCUGCUUCAGUGCCGAAGGGAAGCUGUUAAGUCCGCCGCCUGGGAAGUACGGUCGCAAGACUGAAACUUAAAGGAAUU